This 1278-nucleotide ribosomal RNA is filed under the name Xylella fastidiosa. Its description in RNAcentral is "partial 23S ribosomal RNA". It matches the Rfam family "Bacterial large subunit ribosomal RNA", at positions 1677 to 2925 of the family's 2925-position model. Lineage: Bacteria; Pseudomonadati; Pseudomonadota; Gammaproteobacteria; Lysobacterales; Lysobacteraceae. The record is from RNAcentral.
AAUUCUCAGGCGCUUGAGAGAACUCGGGUGAAGGAACUAGGCAACAUGGCACCGUAACUUCGGGAGAAGGUGCACCCUUUUUGGUGGCGCGUGCGCGUUAUAGCUGAAGAGGGUCGCAGAAACCAGGCCGCUGCGACUGUUUAUCAAAAACACAGCACUCUGCAAACACGAAAGUGGACGUAUAGGGUGUGACGCCUGCCCGGUGCUGGAAGGUUAAUUGAUGGGGUUAGCUGUAAAAGGCGAAGCUCUUGAUCGAAGCCCCAGUAAACGGCGGCCGUAACUAUAACGGUCCUAAGGUAGCGAAAUUCCUUGUCGGGUAAGUUCCGACCUGCACGAAUGGCGUAACGACAGCGGCGCUGUCUCCACCCGAGACUCAGUGAAAUUGAAAUCGCUGUGAAGAUGCAGCGUUCCCGUGGCAAGACGGAAAGACCCCGUGAACCUUUACUAUAGCUUUACACUGAACGUUGAGUUCGUCUGUGUAGGAUAGGUGGGAGGCUAUGAAACCACGACGCUAGUUGUGUUGGAGCCAUCCUUGAAAUACCACCCUGUCGUGCUUGACGUUCUAACCUAGUUCCGUUAUCCGGAUCAGGGACAGUGUAUGGUGGGUAGUUUGACUGGGGCGGUCUCCUCCCAAAGAGUAACGGAGGAGCACGAAGGUACGCUCAGCGCGGUCGGACAUCGCGCACUGUGUGCAAAGGCAUAAGCGUGCUUGACUGCGAGAUCGACGGAUCAAGCAGGUACGAAAGUAGGUCUUAGUGAUCCGGUGGUUCUGUAUGGAAGGGCCAUCGCUCAACGGAUAAAAGGUACUCCGGGGAUAACAGGCUGAUACCGCCCAAGAGUUCAUAUCGACGGCGGUGUUUGGCACCUCGAUGUCGGCUCAUCACAUCCUGGGGCUGUAGUCGGUCCCAAGGGUAUGGCUGUUCGCCAUUUAAAGUGGUACGCGAGCUGGGUUCAGAACGUCGUGAGACAGUUCGGUCCCUAUCUGCCAUGGGCGUUGGAGAUUUGAGAGGGGCUGCUCCUAGUACGAGAGGACCGGAGUGGACGAACCUCUGGUGUUCCGGUUGUCACGCCAGUGGCAUUGCCGGGUAGCUAUGUUCGGAAGCGAUAACCGCUGAAAGCAUCUAAGCGGGAAGCGCGCCUCAAGAUGAGAUCUCCCGGGAUGUAAAUCCCCUAAAGGAACCAUGUAGACUACGUGGUGGAUAGGUCAGGUGUGUAAGUGCAGCAAUGCAUUGAGCUAACUGAUACUAAUGAUCCGUGUGGCUUGACCAUAUAACCUUA